CCUACGGGUCGCAGCAGUGGGGAAUAUUGGACAAUGGGCGAAAGCCUGAUCCAGCCAUGCCGCGUGUGUGAAGAAGGCCUUCGGGUUGUAAAGCACUUUCAGUGGGGAAGAAAGCCUUGGGGCUAAUACCCUCGAGGAAGGACAUCACCCACAGAAGAAGCACCGGCUAACUCCGUGCCAGCAGCCGCGGUAAUACGGAGGGUGCGAGCGUUAAUCGGAAUUACUGGGCGUAAAGCGCGCGUAGGCGGUCUGAUAAGCCGGUUGUGAAAGCCCCUGGCUCAACCUGGGAACGGCAUCCGGAACUGUCAGGCUAGAGUGCAGGAGAGGAAGGUAGAAUUCCCGGUGUAGCGGUGAAAUGCGUAGAGAUCGGGAGGAAUACCAGUGGCGAAGGCGGCCUUCUGGACUGACACUGACGCUGAGGUGCGAAAGCGUGGGUAGCAAACAGGAUUAGAUACCCGGGUAGUC
RNAcentral lists this ribosomal RNA (465 nucleotides) under Vreelandella stevensii. RNAcentral describes it as "partial 16S ribosomal RNA". It matches the Rfam family "Bacterial small subunit ribosomal RNA", at positions 338 to 795 of the family's 1533-position model. Lineage: Bacteria; Pseudomonadati; Pseudomonadota; Gammaproteobacteria; Oceanospirillales; Halomonadaceae. The record is from RNAcentral.